CUCCCCAGUUAGCUAAUUUGAGUGUUGUUAUCAUUAUUUUCCCAAAUGGAGCGCUCGAAUUUUGCGAUUUAAAGUAAGCUACAAGCUAUACUAAAACUGUCGCAUUAAACUUUGAAAUGUGUUAACCUUUAGCAACACGACCACGACACGAACUAUCUUUUCGAACUACUAACUUCAUAUUGUUAUGCAUGUUAAUACCGCAAAUUCUUGCAUCAUCAAAUUUAAUAUUUCGCUUGUUUGUUGGCAUUUAAUUUACCAACAAAUAAUGUUUAUAUAGCCACUAAAGCUAUAAUUAUUUUUUGAUUUGAGGACAAAAAAUUGAUAUGAAGUUCAAUUAUUUUUGUUGAAUUAUUCCUAAGUGUUAGGAAGAAGUUGUUAAUCUGAGUUGAAGUUUUUCUUUUAUGUAAAAUUUGCUAAAGAUUGAAUAUCACCUUUUUGGAAUAGUUUAAAACCUCUUCUUAAGUUUUUUUCGCAUAUUUAAGAAAACGAGAUUUCUUUCUUACAUAUGUUGCCCAUAAAUUUUGUAUUAACUUUUUUUCAUGAAAACAGGAAGUGCAUAUGAAAUCCUUUAAAUACGUAAUUUAAAAUAAUCUUAUACAACUGGGGGAUAUUUCCGUAUCAUGAUCUGUGGCGCUAACUACAAUCGCCAAUGUGCCAAAUAGAUUUUGUACUUGCAAAUUUAAAAAAAAAGAAGUUAUUGUUUACCCGGGGGUGGCUAUGAGUCAUAAAUUUCGAAUUGAUCCCUUUCUGUGAUGUUUUUCAGUUUCUCGCGGGCCACUGCCCGAAGUUGCCAAGACUUGGCAGAAUUCUGCCACGGAUCACGAUACUGAAAUCUCCCUUACGCUUGCAAUACCAGAAGGAAAAAAAAAGACUCACAUAUAGAAGGUUAAAAGAGCUUAUUAAAUAAAAUGUUAGAAACAAUGAACAUUUUAAAAUUACAAAAAUCAUGGAGUUUUAUUAAAAGAAAUAAGAGAGAUUUCAAUAAAGAUGUAAAUUGUUUUAAAAUUUGCUUAUAGAGAAAUGAGUAGUCCGUUACUAUUACUUUUGGUAUGCUUAUUCAGUGAAUUUUUAAAUAGUGUGAGAAAUGUUUUGUUCAUUUUGCUGCGUAAAGUAGGGGUGAGCACCAUCCCUUGAAGAGGCAAGCAAUUUGAAAAUAAUUUAAUUGUGUUUUCAAAGGUUUAAAUAAUAGGAGAUUUUUGUAUGGAUGUCUGUGCUAAUAUAAUCGAUAAGUUUUUGGGGCACAGUAGAAACUAACAAAAAACUUCACAGCGUAGGGCAAAUUUGUAAGAAAACUUGUAGUCAUUUUUAAGCAAGCCACUGUAUUUACAGCAACUGAGCAAUAACACUUGGCGAUUUCAGUUGACAUAAAUAGGUACCCUUAUAGAAAUAGAUUUUACAGUAAAGCUACUGAAGAUUUUUUUGGGAUAAUGUGGUAUUUUGAUCUGUCAAACCAAGCAUAAAGGGCAAAGCACCAAAAGUAUUUUGAACUUGUAAAUUUAAGAUAAAAAAUCUGUAGAGGUUUGCUUCAAACUGACUGCAAGUUAUACCCUUCAAGUUGGUCUUCUUCUGUGAUGUUUUUCUGUUUUUAGUUUCUUGCAAAACAUUGCCUAGAAGUCACAAGGAUUUGGCAAUUAUUUUGACGUAAAUCGGGACACAGAAAUUUCCCCCCUUUUUUUUAAGUAUAUCUUUUCAGGUUUUUAAGAUUAAUGGCUUCAUAAAAUAUUCUUUCGUAAAAUAAAAGUAAGUUAUUCAUUCCUCAGAAAUCAAGUAAAUAAAAUUUGAUCAACUGGGAAAACAAUUAUCUGAAAAUGUUCAGACUUUUUCUAGUAAAUUAUUAUAUUAGUUUAUGAAUUGAGAAAUACAUUUAUGAAGUCUUUAAAUGUUUAAAAACUUUACACAAUUUUUUUUCUCCUUGAUAUUAAACUGAAACAUGCUUCUAUAAUGUUGAAAUACCUUUUCAAAUAUUGAAGUAAAAAGGUUUUAUUAGGUGGCUAUUAUAUCAGAAUUGUAUUUUUAUGAUCUUACAUUUAUAGUCUUUUUAUGUUUUAUUAUCUUCAAAUUAUAGAUUUCAUAUUUUGGAUUGAAAAUUUUGUCGCAAUUUUUUAAAGUAAUUUAGUUUUCUUAUUAAAACCUAAUUUUUAGAAUUAUGUUUAUUACUUUUGUGUGAUUUGUAAAGUAUCAUUUUUAUGUAAAGUAAGAUGUUAUUAAAAUGUGUUUUAAAUUUUAUUAUUCAUGUAUUAGGUGAACAACUAAGUUUCUACCAUUUUUUUUAAAUGUUUGAAAUUCAGGGGUUUUUAGCAACUUUAAAGGAGUUAAAAUUUAAGCAUUUUAUCUGGCAGUUUCACUUGACGUUUGAUACAAAUUUUUCUGCAAAAGUUGGUUUAAUUGCACUUCCUGGAAUUUAACUAUAAAAUAAGAACAAGGUGCAUCUUUAAGGUCACAAUUUUUCUUUUUCAACUUUGCAUACAAAUCACAAGCUGUUCUUUAAGCUAUCACCAUAUCACAUCUCUCCAUACACAGAAUAAGUGUCAAAUCGACUUUUGUGGCCUUCAAAUCUUGAUUAAAAGCUUGAAGAAGGAAGUGUCAAAAAUGCUCAUAUUUCUUAACUUGACAUUUGAUUUUAAUGAUCUGCAAAUUAACAUGUGGAAGCUUAGUUGCAAACCCAGUAUUUUUUAUAUCUGUCUAGGCUGUCUGUAUUUUAUGCUUUAUUUAUUGCUAAGGUAUGACCUAAAUUUAAAGAAACUGUUUAAUUUUAUAACUGGUAAGUACCCUAUUUGAGAAAAUAGGGUAUUUCAAAAUUAUUAUUUUUUUUGUUAUUGUUUGUUUUAACUAAUUUAUAUUACUGCUUAAUAUAUUUAAAUUAUUUUGUUUAUGUUUUUUAUUUUUAGAGCUAUUUUACUUUUAGUUUUGUACUUAUUAGUAAUUGCAUUCAUUAUCUUUAGAUAUAUAUGUAUAUAUAUUUCGAUCUUACUGACUGUUUUAAUUACCUUUGUCAAUAAUUUUGAAAUAUUGAUUAAGUUUUCUUUUUAGGAAAUAUUACAUAUUUAUGGGAAUUUUUAUCACUACUGUUAAAAGAUGAAAAGUAUCCUCACUUAAUUAAAUGGGUCCAUAAAGAAGAAGGCAAGUUUAAAAUUGUAGAUUCAAAAGCUGUCUCAAAAAUGUGGGGUCUUCAUAAAAAUAAUCCAUAUAUGACUUAUGAUAAUAUGUCAAGAGCACUUAGGUAUUAUUAUCGGCAAGGUAUAAUAGCAAAAGUUCAAGGUCAACAAUUAGUGUAUCAAUUUCUUCCAUCAUUGCAAAAUAACUUUCCUGUUAACAUUAGUAAGAUUGAAAAAGAAAGUAAGCACUGACGACUGUAUUUUCUUUACAAUCAAACAUUGUGUAACCAUCCAGCUAUUAAUUAGAAAGAGUAAUAAAAAUCCAAAUAUAUUUCAUGCUUAACUGCUCGGUUAACUUAGUAUUUGCUCAAAGUACCUUAUGUGUAUGCAAGAUAUUAUUAUUAUAUCUUGCAUAUACACAUUAUUAUAUUUUAUUAUAUUGGGAAUUAUAACUUACAAAGCCUAAAUAAAUCAGUAUAUGCAGAAAUUUAAUGGAUAUUCAAAUUAUUUAAAGGAAAAAAAAUAAUAAAAAAAAGAGAAUUUCAAUGCUUGUUGUGAAACACAAGAAAGUAAUGAAAUUGGCCCAAAAAUAUGGUUUUGAAAGAAUUAUAUUAUUUAACAUUUUAAUGAUGAACUGUCUUUCCUUAUUUUUAGAGUCGAACAAGUUACUGAAACAAUAAAAUCUUUUUUUAUCAUUAAUUUUCAACUACUGAAUUGACUUAAAUGCCCGGUGAAUGAUAUUUUUGAUUGUGAUAAUUUUUUUAAUAGAUUAUUAUUGAGGCCCCAAACAUUAUUGAGGAAACAGAAUUUAUAUCUUUAGAGUAUCCUUUGUCAGACUGUGAACACUCAUCUCCAUUGCCCUUUAAAUCUAGUAAAAUUAAGCAGUAAUUUCUAAUGAUUUUUUUUAAAAACAUUUUUGUCCUUCCUUACUAUUGGGUGCUUGUAUCAUCCCUGACCUUAAUAGUUUCAACUGUUUCCAAAAUGAACUGUUUCUGUCUUUGAUUUCUUCAAUAUUUAGUUUAUUUAUAUUUAUUAAUAUUUAUUAUUAUAUUUAUAAAUUUGGUAGAAUAGUUAAAGUUCCUAUUUUUUUAGUAUUCAUCAGUAGUAGUUGCAGCAAAAUUUCUUUUGGAAUUGUUUUUUCAAACACAUGCUUUUGCUAAACAUUUAUAAAAUAUGAAAAUAUUAAUUAAAUGGGUGAAAUAUGCUUUGACAAACAUUUGAUGGCAUUUUUAUGCUCACACAAAAAUAGCUACAUCUUUAUUUUUUAACAUAUUUGAUUGAAAAUAUAACGGCAUAUGUAUUACUAAUGAAGUUUCAGUAAUAUUAUGUUCAGUUUUUUCUUGAAAUUUCUUACAAAUUUUUUUUUAUGCACACAUGAAAUUCUUCCAAUUUUUGGCAGAAUUUCCAACUUUCUGAACUUAUUUGUCGAUUACAGCAUUUGUAUACAAAUAUUAAAAAGUGCAAUGAAAUUUUCCAGAGAGAAAAUAGUGAAAAAAAAAAUGCUGUGUUAAAUGUCUACUUUUGUCUUAAUAUUUCUACAUUAUUUUGUUGUUUUAUAUUUUUAUUAUUUCAUUCUCUUUAAUAAUCAUAAUUUAUAUAUAAAGCUUAACAAUUUGUUGGACUGUCAAUGUACAUCUGUAGUUAAAAAAAACUUCUAAGUAAGGAUGUAAAUAAUUUAAAUGUUUUCUUUUUGUGCAAUUAUUUUCACAUUAUUUAUUUAUUUUUUCAUGGUUGAGUUGAUGAGUAUUUUCAGACUUUUUGUUCUUUUCUCACUCUCUUUAAUAAAGAGUUAUUCUUUAAAAAAUAGAAACCUUGCUUUUUUUUUUAAUUUUUUUUCUAAACAAUCAAGCAUGUCAUGAUAAAAUUGUAAUACAGUUUUACCUGCCCACAAAAAUGUUUGGAGAAAAUUUGAGCAAUGAAUAUCGGAAAUAGCACAGCUGUUCACAUCAACUCCCCUUUGCCUUCUAAAAAUUCAAGUAAAUUGAUGAAGAUAUGUAUGAAAAUUAAAUAUUAUUAGUGCCAUGUGCAUUUAAAUACUAGAUAUUUUAACUAUGAUAUUAUUACUUUAAAUCUCUCAUAUUUUUCUUAAUUGAAGUUUAAUAUAACAUUUUUAAAGAGUGAUACAAUGGUUUUGAUUUCAUGUUAGUUACAAGUUUCAGCUCUCCUUCUUUUUGCAUUUUUUAUUUUAUUACUGAAACAAUAAGCUUGUUUUUGUAUUGCAAAAGUUGUGUGGUCAUCAUUGAAUGUCAAUUAAAAGUUUAUUUUGAUAUAUAUCAUCUAGUAGCAGUGCAAUAUAUAUAAUUCAUCUUAAAUGUUUCAUUUAAAUUUUUUCUAAAAUGCUAUAUUAUUUUCCUUUAAAUGCAACACUUUACUGCUUUUCUAUUGUUGUUGUUAUUCUUUUAUAAUAUUUUAAUACCAAAAUAUAUACAUAUUUUAACAAUUAUAAGCUAGUUAUCUCCUAAAACAUAAUCAUAUGUUGUUUUCACUUAUUGAAAUAUACAUAAUGUCCAAAUUGUUAAACUCAGUGGUUUUUCAAAUUUAAAAUUAACUUUUACUGAUUGUUCAUUGAUCAAUUUUUAUUUUGUCAAAAUCAACGAAAAUUUUAGCCAUAUUGUGUAUUGAUUAAUUAUAUAAUUUACAGGGUUGUUACUUUUCUGGAAAAGUUUUUAAAGAAAUAAACUGGUAGUAAGAACAUUUCCUCAGUCCUUAUUUUUUGGGAAAAGUAAGCUAUUUGAAAUUACCACUACUUAUUUACACUGUUGAUGCACAUAUAGAUGAUAUACAUGUUUUACUUGUUAAUAAUUAGUGGUACCCACAGUGAGUUUACUUCUCCUGAAAGAAAGGUGGAAAUGAAAUGUUCAUAUCAGUUUUUCAUCUUUUUUUGGAUUAGUAGCAGUUCUAAACUUUAAUAUAGUAAAACCUGUCACAUUGACCACAUUUGUAUGUUGACCUCCAUUAUCAAGAACCAAAUUUAUCCUAUUGUAAUAAAAUGGUGCAAAAUCUU
Non-coding RNA from Parasteatoda tepidariorum (common house spider), 6099 nucleotides. The record is from RefSeq and is a predicted model, not a curated record. NCBI's taxonomy places the organism in Eukaryota, Metazoa, Arthropoda, Arachnida, Araneae, Theridiidae.